Molecule: ribosomal RNA, 253 nt
Filed under: Intestinimonas butyriciproducens
Lineage: Bacteria; Bacillati; Bacillota; Clostridia; Eubacteriales
Description: partial 16S ribosomal RNA
Rfam family: Bacterial small subunit ribosomal RNA
Source: RNAcentral
UACGUAGGUGGCAAGCGUUAUCCGGAUUUACUGGGUGUAAAGGGCGAGUAGGCGGGAUUGCAAGUCAGAUGUGAAAACUAUGGGCUCAACCCAUAGACUGCAUUUGAAACUGUAGUUCUUGAGUGAUGGAGAGGUAGGCGGAAUUCCCGGUGUAGCGGUGGAAUGCGUAGAUAUCGGGAGGAACACCAGUGGCGAAGGCGGCCUGCUGGACAUUAACUGACGCUGAGGCGCGAAAGCGUGGGGAGCAAACAGG